UAACAAAUGAAUACGGUUCCUCAUAUAUCGCUGAGAAUAUGGCUCAGAAGUUUCUACCUAGCACCGUAAAUGCUGGACUAUGAGGGAGGAUGAAUCGUUG
RNAcentral lists this non-coding RNA (100 nucleotides) under Virgibacillus necropolis. RNAcentral describes it as "Guanine sequence". It matches the Rfam family "Purine riboswitch aptamer". Rfam says of the family: Riboswitches are metabolite binding domains within certain messenger RNAs that serve as precision sensors for their corresponding targets. Allosteric rearrangement of mRNA structure is mediated by ligand binding, and this results in modulation of gene expression. Lineage: Bacteria; Bacillati; Bacillota; Bacilli; Caryophanales; Bacillaceae. The record is from Rfam by way of RNAcentral.